GGGGAAUAUUGGGCAAUGGGGGAAACCCUGACCCAGCAACGCCGCGUGAGGGAAGAAGGUCUUCGGAUUGUAAACCUCUGUCCUAUGGGAAGAAAACAAUGACUGUACCAUAGGAGGAAGCUCCGGCUAACUACGUGCCAGCAGCCGCGGUAAUACGUAGGGAGCAAGCGUUGUCCGGAAUUACUGGGCGUAAAGGGUGCGUAGGCGGCGCAGUUAGUCAGAAGUGAAAUAUCGGGGCUUAACCUCGGGACUGCUUCUGAUACUGCUGUGCUUGAGUGCAGGAGAGGUAAGUGGAAUUCCUAGUGUAGCGGUGGAAUGCGUAGAUAUUAGGAGGAACACCAGUGGCGAAGGCGACUUACUGGACUGUAACUGACGCUGAGGCACGAAAGCGUGGGUAGCAAAC
This 403-nucleotide ribosomal RNA is filed under the name uncultured bacterium. RNAcentral's name for it is "bacterial SSU rRNA". It matches the Rfam family "Bacterial small subunit ribosomal RNA", at positions 356 to 773 of the family's 1533-position model. The record is from RNAcentral.